Peromyscus maniculatus bairdii (prairie deer mouse) is the source of this 887-nucleotide long non-coding RNA. RefSeq lists it as uncharacterized. Lineage: Eukaryota; Metazoa; Chordata; Mammalia; Rodentia; Cricetidae. The record is from RefSeq and is a predicted model, not a curated record.
ACAGCUCAGGGCCCAACAACUGCCCUGCUGCCCCUGGGGUCUGCUGCCGUGUGGCUUGAGAUGUUCAUUGAGCAAGGCACUGGGGACCCUUUAACGAGGAGGAGGGCAAUGUCCAUGCCCUGCAGAGUGGAGGCAGAGACCUCUUCCUGUAGGUAGAAAGAAGGGGAGACGAAGGCCAGAAGGUUCGAUGUGUGGGAAGUGCAGGGAGCCAUCAGCAGCAGGCCUCUCUUCUCUGCACCUCACACUUUGAUGAUCCCACAUGAUGGAGAAGAAGGCUCGCGAGCUCUGGAUCUGCAAACAUGCCUUCCUGCAUGGGCCGUUCCCUAGUUCCACGGCAGACAUCACUAGUUAAUAAGGCAUGCUCUGGCAUUGCCCAUCCAUCAGACUUCAGAAUCGCUCUUAGCACACAGGUCUUAUCGCAGCGAGGGGUCUACAGGAAGUGCUGUGGGAAGGCGGGCUCACACAGCAGGACUGAGCAGUUCUCGGCAUGGGAUGGGCAGCUGUCCGGGAAGAAGGGUGGUGCUGGCCUGGUGGAGACGUUGGACCGUUGGACCGCCCUCGGAUGGAAGUCUCAAAGCGGGGGAGGAGGGUCUGUGGGAAGUGCGCUGCUUCACCUGUGCCCUGGGAGUUCCCGCUCAUCAGGGACAGCGCUGGGGUUAGUCUGCCCUGAAGUGAGAGUGUAGGACACGUGGACACAGGUGUCACUGGACAGCAGAGCUUGUGGGAUGCUCCAGAGACGGCGAUUUGUCACCAGAUGCAUGGAGGGAGACAAUGUAGCAUCAGAAGACUGCUUACAUCUGGGGAUUUUGGUCUUUCAAAGUGACGAGUUCAUUACCCACCUGUACCAGCAGAGAUGUCUUCAGGGACCUCGUGUGGACCAGAAACCA